UGCGCCUGCGAAGGACGAAGCGGUGCCCACAAAAUGAUGGUCUUGCAGGCGGCCGGGCUCCGUACCGUCACGUGAUCGCAAACGUUUGCGAUUCAAACUUAUUC
RNAcentral lists this small RNA (104 nucleotides) under uncultured Prevotella sp. RNAcentral's name for it is "RT-5 RNA". It matches the Rfam family "RT-5 RNA". From Rfam's summary of the family: Clostridium (Firmicutes). Environment (Cow rumen (57)) Lineage: Bacteria; Pseudomonadati; Bacteroidota; Bacteroidia; Bacteroidales; Prevotellaceae. The record is from RNAcentral.